This 561-nucleotide ribosomal RNA is filed under the name Phyllopsora sp. 1 SK-2018. RNAcentral describes it as "LSU rRNA". It matches the Rfam family "Eukaryotic large subunit ribosomal RNA", at positions 45 to 605 of the family's 3401-position model. Lineage: Eukaryota; Fungi; Ascomycota; Lecanoromycetes; Lecanorales; Ramalinaceae. The record is from RNAcentral.
AAUAAGCGGAGGACAAGAAACCAACCGGGAUUGCCUCAGUAACGGCGAGUGAAGCGGCAACAGCUCAAAUUUGAAAUCUGGUCCUUCCCGGGACCCGAGUUGUAAUUUGUAGAGGAUGUUUCGGGUGCGGUGGCGGUCUAAGUCCCUUGGAACAGGGCGUCGCAGAGGGUGAGAAUCCCGUAUGGGACCGGCACUCAAUCCCGCGUGAAACUCCUUCGACGAGUCGAGUUGUUUGGGAAUGCAGCUCUAAAUGGGUGGUAAAUUUCAUCUAAAGCUAAAUAUCGGCCAGAGACCGAUAGCGCACAAGUAGAGUGAUCGAAAGAUGAAAAGCACUUUGGAAAGAGAGUUAAAAAGUACGUGAAAUUGUUGAAAGGGAAGCGCUCGCAACCAGACCUGCCCGCGGGCGAUCAGCGGCGGUUCUCCGCCGUGCACUCGUCCGCGAACAGGCCAGCAUCGGUUUGGGCGGUCGGAUGAAGGCCCUUGGAAUGUAGCUCCGCUUCGGGGGAGUGUUAUAGCCCUUGGGUGGAAUGCGGCCAGCCCGGACCGAGGAUCGCGCUUCGG